This 595-nucleotide long non-coding RNA is filed under the name Monodelphis domestica (gray short-tailed opossum). RNAcentral describes it as "lncRNA (ENSMODG00000031383.2)". Lineage: Eukaryota; Metazoa; Chordata; Mammalia; Didelphimorphia; Didelphidae. The record is from RNAcentral.
AUAAAAGACUGAUUAAAUAACAAAAAAAAUUUCUAUUGAAAAUAGAUUUGGUUCCAAAGCUCUCAGAACUAAGAUAAAUGGACUAUAGCAGAGGUGUCAGAAACUCUGCUUUGGCUGCUCCCAAGUGUGGUUGAACCAUUAGGAUAUAAUUGAGAAAUACUUUGAAAAAUGUAUUAAAAACCUUCUAGAAUAUAGAUAAUAUUAAUAUGUAAUUUUCUCACUCUAUAGGGAUACUAAUGUGCUGUUUAGAGUCCUUGUUUCUACUGAAGUGUGACACCAAUGGACUAAAUGGCAUUUCAAGGCUACUAUAAGUCAAGAAUACCUGACUGGGAUAAAGUUCUGACUCUGGCAAAUACUAUGUGACAAAAGGAAAGAGCCACCGAACUGCUCAGGGGUUCCAGCUACUACUACUUACUAAAAUGGUUCUAUUUAAAGAACCAAAAAACCUCUAGAAUGGUGGUGUUCAUUGGACAAAGCUCCAGGUCAUUUGAUUUAUGCAGGCGUUUCCAUCUGUAUCAAUUGGAAUGAAGUAAAAAAAGAAGAAGAAAGAGACGAGUUCCAGGCAUAAUAAAGAAAUAUGAAAUGUAGACUGGCA